Long non-coding RNA from Psammomys obesus (fat sand rat), 348 nucleotides. RefSeq lists it as uncharacterized. The record is from RefSeq and is a predicted model, not a curated record. NCBI's taxonomy places the organism in Eukaryota, Metazoa, Chordata, Mammalia, Rodentia, Muridae. The transcript is spliced from 3 exons.
UUUGUAGAGUCAGCCAGGCUGCACCUCAAGCCUCAGCCAGGGAGAACACUCUUAGAGGUUAAGAGGUGAAAACAAGCCGCUUCGGAGACUGGAGCAUGUGUGAGGCGGGGCUUUUCUGGCUCUGGCAGCCCGGAUCUAACUGUGGAGAUGGCCCUCAGAUGAAACAGCAGGCCGGCUGACCUUCAAACCCACAUCAUACCAUGUCUCACUGGACCCCAUCCCUGAUCCUUCAACUCUGAAGCUUGAAAUGGAACCACGUAAGCGUACUCACUGCACUAGCCAAAGCCACAGAUCCUGUCUUGUUUAAGACAAAGGGCUUUGAUUACAUUUAAAUACUUGAAAAUAUCA